AGCGAACGCUGGCGGCGUGCCUAACACAUGCAAGUCGAACGUGAAAAGGGGCAACCCUGAGUAAAGUGGCGUACGGGUGAGUAACGCGUAGGUAAUCUACCAAAAAGCCUGGAAUAACCUGCCGAAAGGCGGGCUAAUACCAGAUAGAGCGAUGGGAUCCGUAAUCGGAUCUUUCGGGAAAGGGAGCUCGUAAGGGCCCUCACUUUUUGAUGAGCCUGCGUCUCAUUAGCUAGUUGGUGGGGUAACGGCCCACCAAGGCUUUGAUGGGUAGCUGGUCUGAGAGGAUGAUCAGCCACACUGGAACUGAAACACGGUCCAGACUCCUACGGGAGGCAGCAGUGGGGAAUCUUGCGCAAUGGACGAAAGUCUGACGCAGCCACGCCGCGUGAGUGAAGAAGGCC
Molecule: ribosomal RNA, 401 nt
Filed under: uncultured bacterium
Lineage: Bacteria
Description: bacterial SSU rRNA
Rfam family: Bacterial small subunit ribosomal RNA
Source: RNAcentral